AAGGCGAGGCAGAGAUGCGUAGUCGAUGGGAAACAGGUCAAUAUUCCUGUACCGAUUCUAGAUGCGAUGUGGGGACGGAGAAGGUUAGGUCAGCCAUCUGUUGGAAUAGGUGGUUUAAGCGUGUAGGUGUGCCCCUUAGGCAAAUCCGGGGGGCUUAGCUGAGGCGUGAUGACGAGCUCUCUUUGAGAGCGAAGUGAUUGAUACCCUGCUUCCAGGAAAAGCCACUAAGCUUCAGUCUAGAAUUGACCGUACCGCAAACCGACACAGGUGGGCAGGUAGAAGAUACUAAGGCGCUUGAGAGAACUCAGGAGAAGGAACUCGGCAAAUUGAUACCGUAACUUCGGGAGAAGGUAUGCCUCGGUAGCUUGUAGGAGUACAUCCGAAGGGCGAAGAGGCCGCAGAGAAUCGGUGGCUGCGACUGUUUAUUAAAAACACAGCACUCUGCA
Molecule: ribosomal RNA, 446 nt
Filed under: uncultured bacterium
Lineage: Bacteria
Description: bacterial LSU rRNA
Rfam family: Bacterial large subunit ribosomal RNA
Source: RNAcentral